UACGAAGGGGGCUAGCGUUGCUCGGAAUUACUGGGCGUAAAGCGCACGUAGGCGGCUUUCUAAGUCGGGGGUGAAAUCCUGGAGCUCAACUCCAGGACUGCCUUCGAUACUGGAAAGCUCGAGUCCGGGAGAGGUGAGUGGAACUGCGAGUGUAGAGGUGAAAUUUGUAGAUAUUCGCAAGAACACCAGUGGCGAAGGCGGCUCACUGGCCCGGUACUGACGCUGAGGUGCGAAAGCGUGGGGAGCAAACAGG
This 253-nucleotide ribosomal RNA is filed under the name uncultured bacterium. RNAcentral describes it as "partial 16S ribosomal RNA". It matches the Rfam family "Bacterial small subunit ribosomal RNA", at positions 524 to 776 of the family's 1533-position model. The record is from RNAcentral.